GAUUAACGCUGGCGGCGCGUCUAACACAUGCAAGUCGAACGGCAGCACGGGUGCUUGCACCUGGUGGCGAGUGGCGAACGGGUGAGUAAUACAUCGGAACGUACCUUAUCGUGGGGGAUAACGCAGCGAAAGCUGUGCUAAUACCGCAUACGCCCUGAGGGGGAAAGCGGGGGAUCGAAAGACCUCGCGCGAUUAGAGCGGCCGAUGCCUGAUUAGCUUGUUGGUGGGGUAAAAGCCCACCAAGGCGACGAUCAGUAGCUGGUCUGAGAGGACGAUCAGCCACACUGGGACUGAGACACGGCCCAGACUCCUACGGGAGGCAGCAGUGGGGAAUUUUGGACAAUGGGGGCAACCCUGAUCCAGCAAUGCCGCGUGAGUGAAGAAGGCCUUCGGGUUGUAAAGCUCUUUUGUCAGGGAAGAAACACCGGCUCUAACACAGUCCGGGAAUGACGGUACCUGAAGAAUAAGCACCGGCUAACUACGUGCCAGCAGCCGCAGUAA
RNAcentral lists this ribosomal RNA (501 nucleotides) under uncultured bacterium. Its description in RNAcentral is "partial 16S ribosomal RNA". It matches the Rfam family "Bacterial small subunit ribosomal RNA", at positions 28 to 523 of the family's 1533-position model. The record is from RNAcentral.